CUCACGUAUGAGGUAUCAUCCGGAGCA
RNAcentral lists this small RNA (27 nucleotides) under Bombyx mori (domestic silkworm). RNAcentral describes it as "ovarian small RNA-4932". The record is from RNAcentral. Lineage: Eukaryota; Metazoa; Arthropoda; Insecta; Lepidoptera; Bombycidae.